This 496-nucleotide ribosomal RNA is filed under the name uncultured bacterium. RNAcentral describes it as "partial 16S ribosomal RNA". It matches the Rfam family "Bacterial small subunit ribosomal RNA", at positions 29 to 507 of the family's 1533-position model. The record is from RNAcentral.
AUGAACGCUGGCGGCGUGCCUAAUACAUGCAAGUCGAGCGAACGGACGAGAAGCUUGCUUCUCUGAUGUUAGCGGCGGACGGGUGAGUAACACGUGGAUAACCUACCUAUAAGACUGGGAUAACUUCGGGAAACCGGAGCUAAUACCGGAUGAUAUUUUGAACCGCAUGGUUCAAAAGUGAAAGACGGUCUUGCUGUCACUUAUAGAUGGAUCCGCGCUGCAUUAGCUAGUUGGUAAGGUAACGGCUUACCAAGGCAACGAUGCAUAGCCGACCUGAGAGGGUGAUCGGCCACACUGGAACUGAGACACGGUCCAGACUCCUACGGGAGGCAGCAGUAGGGAAUCUUCCGCAAUGGGCGAAAGCCUGACGGAGCAACGCCGCGUGAGUGAUGAAGGUCUUCGGAUCGUAAAACUCUGUUAUUAGGGAAGAACAUAUGUGUAAGUAACUGUGCACAUCUUGACAGUACCUAAUCAGAAAGCCACGGCUAACUACGUG